AACGAACGCUGGCGGCAUGCCUAACACAUGCAAGUCGAACGAGACCUUCGGGUCUAGUGGCGCACGGGUGCGUAACGCGUGGGAAUCUGCCCUUGGGUUCGGGAUAACAGUUGGAAACGACUGCUAAUACCGAAUGAUGUCUUCGGACCAAAGAUUUAUCGCCCAGGGAUGAGCCCGCGUAAGAUUAGCUAGUUGGUGGGGUAAAGGCCUACCAAGGCAACGAUCUUUAGCUGGUCUGAGAGGAUGAUCAGCCACACUGGGACUGAGACACGGCCCAGACUCCUACGGGAGGCAGCAGUGGGAAUAUUGCGCAAUGGGCGGAAGCCUGACGCAGCGACGCCGCGUGGGGGAUGACGGCCUU
Molecule: ribosomal RNA, 361 nt
Filed under: uncultured bacterium
Lineage: Bacteria
Description: bacterial SSU rRNA
Rfam family: Bacterial small subunit ribosomal RNA
Source: RNAcentral